Molecule: ribosomal RNA, 378 nt
Filed under: uncultured bacterium
Lineage: Bacteria
Description: partial 16S ribosomal RNA
Rfam family: Bacterial small subunit ribosomal RNA
Source: RNAcentral
CCUACGGGAGGCAGCAGUGGGGAAUAUUGCACAAUGGUCGGAACCCUGAUGCAGCGACGCCGCGUGAGCGAGGAAGUAUUUCGGUAUGUAAAGCUCUAUCAGCAGGGACGCAAAAGGGCGGUACCUGACUAGGAAGCCCCGGCUAACUACGUGCCCGCAGCCGCGGUAAUACGUAGGGGGCACGCGUUAUCCGGGUUUACUGGGUGUAAAGGGAGCGUAGACGGCAAGGCAAGCCAGAAGUGAAAGGGCAGGGCUCAACCCUGUACAUGCUUUUGGAACUGGGGUGCUAGAGUGCAGGAGAGGUAAGUGGAAUGCGUAGUGUAGCGGUGAAAUGCGUAGAUAUUAGGAGGAACACCAGUGGCGAAGGCGGCUUACUGG